This 448-nucleotide ribosomal RNA is filed under the name uncultured bacterium. RNAcentral's name for it is "partial 16S ribosomal RNA". It matches the Rfam family "Bacterial small subunit ribosomal RNA", at positions 330 to 794 of the family's 1533-position model. The record is from RNAcentral.
GCCAGACUCCUACGGGAGGCAGCAGUGGGGAAUAUUGCACAAUGGGGGGAACCCUGAUGCAGCGACGCCGCGUGGGUGAAGGAGCGUUUCGGCGCGUAAAGCCCUCUCGGCAGGGAAGAAGGAGGACGGUACCUGACUAAGAAGCCCCGGCUAACUACGUGCCAGCAGCCGCGGUAAUACGUAGGGGGCAAGCGUUAUCCGGAUUUACUGGGUGUAAAGGGGGCGCAGACGGCAGCGCAAGCCAGGAGUGAAAGCCCGGGGCCCAACCCCGGGACUGCUCUUGGAACUGCGCGGCUGGAGUGCAGGAGGGGCAGGCGGAAUUCCUGGUGUAGCGGUGAAAUGCGUAGAUAUCAGGAGGAACACCGGUGGCGAAGGCGGCCUGCUGGACUGCGACUGACGUUGAGGCCCGAAAGCGUGGGGAGCAAACAGGAUUAGAUACCCGCGUAAC